UGAGGAAUAUUGCGCAAUGGGGGCAACCCUGACGCAGCGACGCCGCGUGAGUGAGGAAGGCCUUCGGGUCGUAAAGCUCUGUCAAGAGGGAAGAAGUGCAUGGUGGUUAAUAUCUGUCAUGUUUGACGGUACCUCUAAAGGAAGCACCGGCUAACUCCGUGCCAGCAGCCGCGGUAAUACGGAGGGUGCAAGCGUUGUUCGGAAUCACUGGGCGUAAAGGGCGCGCAGGCGGCCUGAUCAGUCAGAUGUGAAAGCCCACGGCUUAACUGUGGAAGUGCAUUUGAAACUGUCAGGCUUGAGUACCAGAGGGGAAAGUGGAAUUCCCGGUGUAGAGGUGAAAUUCGUAGAUAUCGGGAGGAAUACCGGUGGCGAAGGCGACUUUCUGGCUGGAUACUGACGCUGAGGCGCGAAAGCGUGGGGAGCAAACAGG
RNAcentral lists this ribosomal RNA (430 nucleotides) under uncultured bacterium. RNAcentral describes it as "bacterial SSU rRNA". It matches the Rfam family "Bacterial small subunit ribosomal RNA", at positions 355 to 776 of the family's 1533-position model. RNAcentral also lists the same sequence under 1 other name. The record is from RNAcentral.